Molecule: ribosomal RNA, 564 nt
Filed under: uncultured bacterium
Lineage: Bacteria
Description: bacterial SSU rRNA
Rfam family: Bacterial small subunit ribosomal RNA
Source: RNAcentral
GGANUUCGNAUGGGGGAACCCUGACGCAGCAACGCCGCGUGGGUGAUGAAGGCCUUCGGGUCGUAAAGCCCUGUCAAGUGGGAAGAAACAUGUCAUGGCUAAUAUCCAUGGCACUUGACGGUACCACUGGAGGAAGCACCGGCUAACUCCGUGCCAGCAGCCGCGGUAAUACGGAGGGUGCAAGCGUUGUUCGGAAUUAUUGGGCGUAAAGAGCGUGUAGGCGGUCGGGUAAGUCAGAUGUGAAAGCCUUCUGCUUAACAGAAGAAGUGCAUUUGAGACUGCUCGGCUGGAGUACGGGAGAGGAGAGUGGAAUUCCCGGUGUAGAGGUGAAAUUCGUAGAUAUCGGGAGGAACACCGGUGGCGAAGGCGGCUCUCUGGCCCGAUACUGACGCUGAGACGCGAAAGCGUGGGGAGCAAACAGGAUUAGAUACCCUGGUAGUCCACGCCGUAAACGAUGGGCACUAGGUGUAGGAGGUAUUGACCCCUUCUGUGCCGAAGUUAACGCAUUAAGUGCCCCGCCUGGGGAGUACGGCCGCAAGGCUAAAACUCAAAAAAAUUGACGGA